This 87-nucleotide non-coding RNA is filed under the name uncultured Butyricicoccus sp. RNAcentral's name for it is "Glycine riboswitch". It matches the Rfam family "Glycine riboswitch aptamer", at positions 9 to 86 of the family's 94-position model. Rfam says of the family: This family represents the bacterial glycine riboswitch. Glycine riboswitches usually consist of two metabolite-binding aptamers domains with similar structures in tandem. The record is from RNAcentral. Lineage: Bacteria; Bacillati; Bacillota; Clostridia; Eubacteriales; Butyricicoccaceae.
UGGCUCUGGAGAAUCCCUCACACGGGUGCCGAAGGUGCAAGGCGUGCCGCAAAGUGCGCUAAUCUCUCAGGCAAAAGGACAGAGUGG